CCUUGAAGAGAAUUUUAACAUAGAAGUGAGUUGGGCUUUUCUGAAUUCUCGCUGUGAUGUCUUGAUGGAGGUUACACAAGAAAAUUUUGAUUUACAAUCUGAACUGGCCAAAGUCAUGGAUACUAUCGAGAAAAGCCAACAACUUGCUGAUACUCCUUCUCCAGCCCUUGGAAGCGUUGGUACCCCUUCCCUAGCUCUUGAAGUUCAUGGAACAGAUGAGUUAUUGAACUCAGAAGCAAUUACUGAUUUGGGUGAAGCUUCUAUGGCAAAGUCUAUGGGAAUUGAAGUUCCCAUGGAUGAGUUAUUGAACUGAAAAUCAAUUACUGAUGUGGGUGAAGCUACGAUUCCAGUUUUGGAAGGUGAAGCUUCUACGGCAAAGUCUAUGGGAAUUGAAGUUCCCAUGACUACUACUAACCUUCCUGAAACUGUGGACUUAACUGAGUCAAUCCCUAUUGCUGCUUCUUCGGAAGUUGUUACCGUGCAAAUUGUUGCCUAUGAAUGUGAAAUUUCAACUUCUGAAGUUCCAACUCCCUCAGUGAACAAUUAAGUUCUUACUAUUUUCGUUCCUUUUUUUUAGUACUGUUGAUGAAGUCCCCAAUUACUAGAAUGGGGCAUUUGUGAACAUAUAUUUUUG
RNAcentral lists this long non-coding RNA (634 nucleotides) under Nicotiana benthamiana. RNAcentral describes it as "long non-coding RNA (NBEN_LNC027196)". The record is from RNAcentral. Lineage: Eukaryota; Viridiplantae; Streptophyta; Magnoliopsida; Solanales; Solanaceae.